CGCACGGGUGAGUAACACGUAUCUAACCUGCCGUCUACUCUUGGACAGCCUUCUGAAAGGAAGAUUAAUACAAGAUGGCAUCAUGAGUCCGCAUGUUCACAUGAUUAAAGGUAUUCCGGUAGACGAUGGGGAUGCGUUCCAUUAGAUAGUAGGCGGGGUAACGGCCCACCUAGUCUUCGAUGGAUAGGGGUUCUGAGAGGAAGGUCCCCCACAUUGGAACUGAGACACGGUCCAA
RNAcentral lists this ribosomal RNA (235 nucleotides) under uncultured bacterium. RNAcentral's name for it is "partial 16S ribosomal RNA". It matches the Rfam family "Bacterial small subunit ribosomal RNA", at positions 99 to 334 of the family's 1533-position model. The record is from RNAcentral.